AAUCCAUGACUAGGGCAUUGCUUCAAUAAACUUUUGAAUCUCUCACAUGCUUCAAACAGUGAUUUUUCCUCUAUUUGAGCAAAGUUCAUGAUUUGAUUUCUCAUU
Small nucleolar RNA from Zingiber officinale, 105 nucleotides. NCBI's taxonomy places the organism in Eukaryota, Viridiplantae, Streptophyta, Magnoliopsida, Zingiberales, Zingiberaceae. The record is from RefSeq and is a predicted model, not a curated record.